CGUUUCUCAGGACUUUAUGUCUCUCCCAAUCUAGAGCCUCACAUGUCUUCUUCAUGCCUGCUGAGAGAGGUGUCCUGUUAAGUGUAGUAAGGAAAAUAGCUUCUUCCACUCAUGGAAUCUUGCACUGAGUUAAAAUUCUAUAAUCGGAACUUUAUCUUGAGAGUCUCUGUAAUGGUUUUCAGCUUUAACCAGAUUUAGGAAAUCAACCAUUGCAGUACUACAUAUACUUUAUUUUCUUAGAAGAAUAUCAUAUUAGACUUUCUCUUUUAUCAGUCAAACAAUAUCCAUCCACUGGAUUGACUGGAGGGGCU
RNAcentral lists this long non-coding RNA (311 nucleotides) under Bos taurus (domestic cattle). RNAcentral describes it as "long non-coding RNA NONBTAT023693". The record is from RNAcentral. Lineage: Eukaryota; Metazoa; Chordata; Mammalia; Artiodactyla; Bovidae.